CCUACGGGUGGCAGCAGUGAGGAAUAUUGGUCAAUGGACGCUAGUCUGAACCAGCCAAGUAGCGUGAAGGAUGACUGCCCUAUGGGUUGUAAACUUCUUUUAUAAUGGAAUAAAAUGCAGCAUGUGUGCCUCUUUGCAUGUACUUUAUGAAUAAGGAUCGGCUAACUCCGUGCCAGCAGCCGCGGUAAUACGGAGGAUCCGAGCGUUAUCCGGAUUUAUUGGGUUUAAAGGGAGCGUAGGUGGGUUGUUAAGUCAUUUAUGAAAGUUUGCGGCUCAACCGUAAAAUUGCAAUUGAUACUGGCAGCAUUGAGUACAGUAGAGGUAGGCGGAAUUCGUGGUGUAGCGGUGAAAUGCUUAGAUAUCACGAAGAACCCCGAUUGCGAAGGCAGCUUACUAAACUGUGACUGACACUGAUGCACGAAAGCGUGGGGAUCAAACAGGAUUAGAUACCCGUGUAGUC
RNAcentral lists this ribosomal RNA (460 nucleotides) under uncultured bacterium. RNAcentral's name for it is "partial 16S ribosomal RNA". It matches the Rfam family "Bacterial small subunit ribosomal RNA", at positions 338 to 795 of the family's 1533-position model. The record is from RNAcentral.